UUUGCUCACACUCUAGCCUGUUCAGAAGCUGAUCCUAACGACGUCAGCAAGCUGUCGUCACCAGGAUACCAAUGAGAAGCCAGGUGGAACAGCCCCGAAGGUAUUCGUUGCAAUCCUCAAUCCCGACCACCACAUUCCGCUAAAGGUUAUAACACUCCCGAAGGAGCCACAUCCCUCCAGCCUUUUUAUGACGUUCGAAAUUGAUGUUAACCAGCUGACACGAAAGUGCACCUUUUCGUCAAGAGUUCACGCUUCGUGACGGUUUUGAGGCUCGUCGCGCCAUGUGAUCUCAAGACGAGAGGGUUGAUUUCGCGCCAGCACGACUGACUUCAAUCGUUUCCCUUUCAAUGCAUAGUGGAGGGUGAUUAACUCCUCACGCUCCACAUAAUCGCACCCAAAAGGCUGAUUACCCGCCGGUACGACUG
RNAcentral lists this ribosomal RNA (425 nucleotides) under Entrophospora sp. RNAcentral describes it as "partial large subunit ribosomal RNA". The record is from RNAcentral. Lineage: Eukaryota; Fungi; Glomeromycota; Glomeromycetes; Entrophosporales; Entrophosporaceae.